This 253-nucleotide ribosomal RNA is filed under the name uncultured bacterium. Its description in RNAcentral is "partial 16S ribosomal RNA". It matches the Rfam family "Bacterial small subunit ribosomal RNA", at positions 524 to 776 of the family's 1533-position model. The record is from RNAcentral.
UACGUAGGGUGCGAGCGUUGUCCGGAAUUAUUGGGCGUAAAGAGCUCGUAGGCGGUCUGUCGCGUCUGCUGUGAAAACUCAAGGCUCAACCUUGAGCUUGCAUCGGGUACGGGCAGACUAGAGUGUGGUAGGGGUGACUGGAAUUCCUGGUGUAGCGGUGGAAUGCGCAGAUAUCAGGAGGAACACCGAUGGCGAAGGCAGGUCACUGGGCCACUACUGACGCUGAGGAGCGAAAGCAUGGGGAGCGAACAGG